AAUCAUUCUUGGGAGGCCAUUCUUAGCAACUGCUAGAGCUUUGAUUGAUGUUGAAAAAGGUGAGCUCACUUUGAGAUUUCAAGACCAAAAGGUAACAUUUAAUAUUUUCAAAGCUUUAAAAUUGCCUAUGACAUCUGAAGACUGUUUUUCUGUGAGUGUAGUGAAUAACUUGACUCAUGAUGUUUUCUUAGAAGAAAUUCCCAAUGAUCCUCUUUAAGCAUGUUUAUUUGCUAACUUUGAUAAGGAUGAUGAUGAGUUCAUUGAAUAUUCAAACUUGUUGAAUGAUCACUCCAAAUUUAAAACUAAUCAUCAAUUUGAGUCUUUAGAUAUUUCAGCUUCUUUGAUGCCAACUUCUAAGCCUUCUAUUGAGGAGCCACCUACUUUGAAACUCAAACCUCUGCCUGCACACUUGAGAUAUUCUUUUCUUGGAAAAUCUUCUACUAUUCCGGUUAUUAUUUCUGCUGCUCUUACUAACAUGCAAGAGAAAAAGUUGUUGAGAACACUUAAAGAAUUCAAGAAAGUAAUAGGAUGGACCAUAGCUGAUAUUAAGGGAAUUAGCCCUUCUAUUUGCAUGCAUAAAAUUCUUCUUGAAGAAAAUCACAAAGCCACAAUUGAACAACAAAGAAGAUUGAACCCUAUCAUGAAGGAAGUGGUCAAGAAUGAAAUCAUUAAGUGGUUGAAUGCUAGAAUAAUUUAUCCUAUCUCUGAUAGCUCAUAGGUAAGUCUAGUUCAAUGUGUGCCUAAGAAAGGAGGAAUGAUUGUGGUGGCCAAUGACAAUAAUGAGCACAUUCCAACAAGAACUGUGACUGGAUGGAGAGUGUGCAUGGACUACCGCAAGCUCAAUAAGGCUACAAGGAAAGAUCAUUUUCCUUUUCCUUUCAUUGAUCAAAUGUUGGAUCGCUUGGCUAGUAAGGAAUACUAUUAUUUUCUAGAUGGUUAUUCUGGUUAUAACCAAAUUGCUAUUGCUCCUGAAGAUCAAGAAAAGACUACAUUUGUCACGAUCCGUAACUCUCAUCGGGCCCAUGACAACAGCUGCGACAUCCUGAUAGGCACUCAUUACCUUGAAUGCCGAUCGAAACCCCGCAAGGCUUACAUCAGCUUCCGCAUCUCCCCGGUGAGCGACAAUUAUUAAAUCUCGUAUUUCAAGAAAUCAUAAGUCGUUUCCAAAUCAAAAUAAUAAAAUAUUGUUUUCUAGUUCACAGGGGCAUUUUCGUCAUUUUUUUUAAAAUAUCGAAACUUGCCAAAAACAUGGUGUAAAAGCUAAAUAUGUUCAUACAUACUUUAAAUCAGAUAACUGAAGUAUAAAAUUACUUUUACAGUGACACGUGGGCCCCCAACUAACCAAAAUGUAUGAAAAGCUGAAAACCUACAGCUUUUGCCUAUUCAAGUCCAAAUGAAAGGUUCUUGUCAAAGUCAGCUAACUAUGAAAUUCCUUGAGCCUGAAAUGUGAGGAAAGGAGGGUGGUGAGAUUAUAAAAUUCUAGUGAGUAAAUAGACACCAUCUAAACUAUUUAAAGGCGAGUAAAUGGAGACAAAUUAAAAUAUUCUUUUCCAAUAUAUGUUUCAUAACAUGAAUAUUCAGUUUACUCAAUUAAUUAAUAUGGCUUAUAUAUCUCACAAAACUUGGCUCCUGCCAAAAUCAUUCUCGCGGGUACCUUCGUCAAGGUAUCCCACUGAGACCGCCAAGGCUGUUAAAGUCCCAUACCCAUAAACAUGUUUUCGCAUCUGACAUACAACCGUUCCUUGGCGUUGGCUGAGUAUCACUCUCACGCGGUGGUCCACGUGAAGUGCACUCAAAUCUUCACCUCAGGAGAUACUUCAUCCAACAUCUCCCCCGGGAGGUAAAUAUAUAACUGAGUUACCGUGCCCCUCUCAUAGGCAGUUCACGGAAACCCCCACCAUUGCAGUGACUAUGGAUUAUUUUAUCUACCACCUGAUUUAUAAAAUCUUUAUCUGCAUGACAUGGCAAUUUAUCGCAGUCUAGCCUCUCAAGGCUGAAUACAUAGUAUAUAUAAUUUUGAUACAAAUACCGACUUUGCCAUUCAUGCUCACGUAUUGCUAUAAGCCAUAUAAUUUAAAACACAAUUUAUAACACAAACAGAUAGUCUCCAAUUACUCUAUUUUCAAAACCAGUAUUCAAUUUUUCAGAAAAUUUAUAAAAUCAUUUUAUAAAAUCAGAAUUUCUCCUAAAACAUCGCAAUUUACCAUUUAAACCCAUUUUCUAUAAAAUCACACAAUUGAAUAAAACUACUCUAGAUAAUUAAGACGAUAAUAAGUUUACUCAUAGUUCUAGGAGUCAAUGUACUCCUAAUCCCAAUCUCCAAGCACAAUCUCUGUACUUUUACCAGUGUAAUUUACUCACCACCUAUCCACAAUGUACAAUACAUAAUUCACCACAUCAAUGCUUGACUAUUAUAAAAUCAAUUCAGGCUCGGUGUAUAUGCAUGAUAUGAUAUGCAACUUAUCCGACUACCGCUUAAAUGCGGUGUUGACUUAAUUCGGCCUAUUACUUGAUUAAAUGACAAUUGUGUCCGAUUUGGCUCCAAAUCGCUCCAUUUCAUUUCUAAUAUUUCAAUUCACUAAAUACAAUUCCAAUAAUCUAAAAUUCAGCCUAACAACCCUCACAAUUCUUUUUGAAAAUUUCGGCCAUUGUGGUGCACUAUCACUAAAAAUUUUUUCAUUUCAUUUUCUCACCAUAAAUCAUCAUUUCAUCAAUUUUUCAACCAAUUCACUUGAUCACAAAAUCAAUUCAUUACUUCUACACUUCACAUAGGGUUCGACCAUUGAAGGUUCAUGGGGAAAAGGGAUUCUUUUCUUGUUGUUUUGUUUCUAAACAUGCUUAACUAACUAAAAACACUAACAUAACUUAGAAUCAAAUCAAUCUAACAUCAUUCUCUCUCCAUACCCAUUCCAACCAGCCAUGAAUUCAUCAUGAAAACAUGUAAUUUAACAAUGGAAAUUAAGGGAAAAUGCAUGGGUAAGGUAAAUCACUAGCAAAAUCAAAGAAAUUUUACCUUUGCUUGAUCAAAUCCUUGAAUUCCAACACUUUCUCUUUGAUUUUUUCCACCUAGGGUUUGUUCUUCCUUGGUUUCUCUUAUUUUCUGGUUUGGUU
RNAcentral lists this long non-coding RNA (3111 nucleotides) under Theobroma cacao (cacao). Its description in RNAcentral is "long non-coding RNA (TCAC_LNC003727)". Lineage: Eukaryota; Viridiplantae; Streptophyta; Magnoliopsida; Malvales; Malvaceae. The record is from RNAcentral.